GGUUAAGCGACUAAGCGUACACGGUGGAUGCCCUGGCAGUCAGAGGCGAUGAAGGACGUGCUAAUCUGCGAUAAGCGUCGGUAAGGUGAUAUGAACCGUUAUAACCGGCGAUUUCCGAAUGGGGAAACCCAGUGUGAUUCGUCACACUAUCAUUAACUGAAUCCAUAGGUUAAUGAGGCGAACCGGGGGAACUGAAACAUCUAAGUACCCCGAGGAAAAGAAAUCAACCGAGAUUCCCCCAGUAGCGGCGAGCGAACGGGGAGGAGCCCAGAGCCUGAAUCAGUGUGUGUGUUAGUGGAAGCGUCUGGAAAGGCGCGCGAUACAGGGUGACAGCCCCGUACACAAAAAUGCACAUGCUGUGAGCUCGAUGAGUAGGGCGGGACACGUGGUAUCCUGUCUGAAUAUGGGGGGACCAUCCUCCAAGGCUAAAUACUCCUGACUGACCGAUAGUGAACCAGUACCGUGAGGGAAAGGCGAAAAGAACCCCGGCGAGGGGAGUGAAAAAGAACCUGAAACCGUGUACGUACAAGCAGUGGGAGCCUCUUUAUGGGGUGACUGCGUACCUUUUGUAUAAUGGGUCAGCGACUUAUAUUCUGUAGCAAGGUUAACCGAAUAGGGGAGCCGAAGGGAAACCGAGUCUUAACUGGGCGUUAAGUUGCAGGGUAUAGACCCGAAACCCGGUGAUCUAGCCAUGGGCAGGUUGAAGGUUGGGUAACACUAACUGGAGGACCGAACCGACUAAUGUUGAAAAAUUAGCGGAUGACUUGUGGCUGGGGGUGAAAGGCCAAUCAAACCGGGAGAUAGCUGGUUCUCCCCGAAAGCUAUUUAGGUAGCGCCUCGUGAAUUCAUCUCCGGGGGUAGAGCACUGUUUCGGCAAGGGGGUCAUCCCGACUUACCAACCCGAUGCAAACUGCGAAUACCGGAGAAUGUUAUCACGGGAGACACACGGCGGGUGCUAACGUCCGUCGUGAAGAGGGAAACAACCCAGACCGCCAGCUAAGGUCCCAAAGUCAUGGUUAAGUGGGAAACGAUGUGGGAAGGCCCAGACAGCCAGGAUGUUGGCUUAGAAGCAGCCAUCAUUUAAAGAAAGCGUAAUAGCUCACUGGUCGAGUCGGCCUGCGCGGAAGAUGUAACGGGGCUAAACCAUGCACCGAAGCUGCGGCAGCGACACUAUGUGUUGUUGGGUAGGGGAGCGUUCUGUAAGCCUGCGAAGGUGUACUGUGAGGUAUGCUGGAGGUAUCAGAAGUGCGAAUGCUGACAUAAGUAACGAUAAAGCGGGUGAAAAGCCCGCUCGCCGGAAGACCAAGGGUUCCUGUCCAACGUUAAUCGGGGCAGGGUGAGUCGACCCCUAAGGCGAGGCCGAAAGGCGUAGUCGAUGGGAAACAGGUUAAUAUUCCUGUACUUGGUGUUACUGCGAAGGGGGGACGGAGAAGGCUAUGUUGGCCGGGCGACGGUUGUCCCGGUUUAAGCGUGUAGGCUGGUUUUCCAGGCAAAUCCGGAAAAUCAAGGCUGAGGCGUGAUGACGAGGCACUACGGUGCUGAAGCAACAAAUGCCCUGCUUCCAGGAAAAGCCUCUAAGCAUCAGGUAACAUCAAAUCGUACCCCAAACCGACACAGGUGGUCAGGUAGAGAAUACCAAGGCGCUUGAGAGAACUCGGGUGAAGGAACUAGGCAAAAUGGUGCCGUAACUUCGGGAGAAGGCACGCUGAUAUGUAGGUGAAGUCCCUCGCGGAUGGAGCUGAAAUCAGUCGAAGAUACCAGCUGGCUGCAACUGUUUAUUAAAAACACAGCACUGUGCAAACACGAAAGUGGACGUAUACGGUGUGACGCCUGCCCGGUGCCGGAAGGUUAAUUGAUGGGGUUAGCGCAAGCGAAGCUCUUGAUCGAAGCCCCGGUAAACGGCGGCCGUAACUAUAACGGUCCUAAGGUAGCGAAAUUCCUUGUCGGGUAAGUUCCGACCUGCACGAAUGGCGUAAUGAUGGCCAGGCUGUCUCCACCCGAGACUCAGUGAAAUUGAACUCGCUGUGAAGAUGCAGUGUACCCGCGGCAAGACGGAAAGACCCCGUGAACCUUUACUAUAGCUUGACACUGAACAUUGAGCCUUGAUGUGUAGGAUAGGUGGGAGGCUUUGAAGUGUGGACGCCAGUCUGCAUGGAGCCGACCUUGAAAUACCACCCUUUAAUGUUUGAUGUUCUAACGUUGGCCCCUGAUCGGGGUUGCGGACAGUGUCUGGUGGGUAGUUUGACUGGGGCGGUCUCCUCCUAAAGAGUAACGGAGGAGCACGAAGGUUGGCUAAUCCUGGUCGGACAUCAGGAGGUUAGUGCAAUGGCAUAAGCCAGCUUGACUGCGAGCGUGACGGCGCGAGCAGGUGCGAAAGCAGGUCAUAGUGAUCCGGUGGUUCUGAAUGGAAGGGCCAUCGCUCAACGGAUAAAAGGUACUCCGGGGAUAACAGGCUGAUACCGCCCAAGAGUUCAUAUCGACGGCGGUGUUUGGCACCUCGAUGUCGGCUCAUCACAUCCUGGGGCUGAAGUAGGUCCCAAGGGUAUGGCUGUUCGCCAUUUAAAGUGGUACGCGAGCUGGGUUUAGAACGUCGUGAGACAGUUCGGUCCCUAUCUGCCGUGGGCGCUGGAGAACUGAGGGGGGCUGCUCCUAGUACGAGAGGACCGGAGUGGACGCAUCACUGGUGUUCGGGUUGUCAUGCCAAUGGCACUGCCCGGUAGCUAAAUGCGGAAGAGAUAAGUGCUGAAAGCAUCUAAGCACGAAACUUGCCCCGAGAUGAGUUCUCCCUGACUCCCUGAGAGUCCUGAAGGAACGUUGAAGACGACGACGUUGAUAGGCCGGGUGUGUAAGCGCAGCGAUGCGUUGAGCUAACCGGUACUAAUGAACCGUGAGGCUUAACCUU
Molecule: ribosomal RNA, 2902 nt
Filed under: Escherichia coli
Lineage: Bacteria; Pseudomonadati; Pseudomonadota; Gammaproteobacteria; Enterobacterales; Enterobacteriaceae
Also listed under: 1 other name
Description: 23S ribosomal RNA
Rfam family: Bacterial large subunit ribosomal RNA
Source: RNAcentral